GUGUAGACUAUGAUUAAUUUAGGG
This 24-nucleotide small nuclear RNA is filed under the name Arabidopsis thaliana (thale cress). Its description in RNAcentral is "snRNA_03015". Lineage: Eukaryota; Viridiplantae; Streptophyta; Magnoliopsida; Brassicales; Brassicaceae. The record is from RNAcentral.